Molecule: ribosomal RNA, 253 nt
Filed under: uncultured bacterium
Lineage: Bacteria
Description: partial 16S ribosomal RNA
Rfam family: Bacterial small subunit ribosomal RNA
Source: RNAcentral
UACGUAGGUGGCAAGCGUUGUCCGGAAUCAUUGAGCGUAAAGAGCGUGUAGGCGGCCAGAUAAGUCCGCUGUGAAAUCUCGAGGCUCAACUUCGAGCUGUCGGUGGAAACUGUCUGGCUAGAGUCCGGAAGAGGAGAAUGGAAUUCCUGGUGUAGCGGUGAAAUGCGCAGAUAUCAGGAAGAACACCCGUGGCGAAGGCGGUUCUCUGGGACGGUACUGACGCUGAGACGCGAAAGCGUGGGGAGCGAACAGG